AGCAGCCGCGGUAAUUCCAGCUCCAAUAGCGUAUAUUAAAGUUGUUGCAGUUAAAAAGCUCGUAGUUGAAUUUUGGGUCUGGCCGGGCGGUCCGCCCUCUGGGUGAGCACUGUUCCGACGCCGGGCCUAUCCUUCUGGUGAGUCGGCAUGUCCUUUAUUGGGUGUGUCGGGGAACCAGGACCAUUACCUUGAAAAAUUAGAGUGUUCAAAGCAGGCGUAUGCUCGAAUACAUUAGCAUGGAAUAAUGAAAUAGGACGCGUGGUGCUAUUUUGUUGGUUUCUAGAACCGCCGUAAUGAUUAAUAGGGAUAGUUGGGGGCAUUAGUAUUCAAUUGUCAGAAGUGAAAUUCUUGGAUUUAUUGAAGACUAACUUCUGCGAAAGCAUUUGCCAAGGAUGUUUUCAUUAAUCAAGAACGAAAGUUAGGGGAUCGAAGACGAUCAGAUACCGUCGUAGUCUUAACCAUAAACUAUGCCGACUAGGAAUCGGGCGAUGUUAUUCUCAUGACUCGCCCGGCGCCUU
This 518-nucleotide ribosomal RNA is filed under the name uncultured Ambispora. Its description in RNAcentral is "SSU rRNA". It matches the Rfam family "Eukaryotic small subunit ribosomal RNA", at positions 569 to 1089 of the family's 1831-position model. Lineage: Eukaryota; Fungi; Glomeromycota; Glomeromycetes; Archaeosporales; Ambisporaceae. The record is from RNAcentral.